RNAcentral lists this ribosomal RNA (327 nucleotides) under uncultured archaeon. Its description in RNAcentral is "bacterial SSU rRNA". It matches the Rfam family "Archaeal small subunit ribosomal RNA", at positions 321 to 648 of the family's 1478-position model. The record is from RNAcentral.
CCCUACGGGGCGCAGCAGGCGCGAAAACUUUACAAUGCUGGAAACAGCGAUAAGGGGACCUCGAGUGUCAGGUUACAAAUCUGGCUGUCGUGAUGCCUAAAAAGCAUUGCACAGCAAGGGCCGGGCAAGACCGGUGCCAGCCGCCGCGGUAACACCGGCGGCUCGAGUGGUAACCGUUAUUAUUGGGUCUAAAGGGUCUGUAGCCGGCCGGAUAAGUUUCUUGGGAAAUUUGGCAGCUUAACUGUCAGGCUUUCAGGAGAUACUGUCUGGCUCGAGGCCGGGAGAGGUGAGAGGUACUUCAGGGGUAGGGGUGAAAUCCUGUAAUCC